GGUCCUGUAGCUCGGCUGGUAGAGCAUGGUGCUUGCAACGCCAGUGUUGUGGGUUCAAUUCCCACGUGGGGACCA
Non-coding RNA from Oncorhynchus gorbuscha (pink salmon), 75 nucleotides. Lineage: Eukaryota; Metazoa; Chordata; Actinopteri; Salmoniformes; Salmonidae. The record is from the annotation of a RefSeq genome assembly.